UGAUCCUGCCAGUAGUCAUAUGCUUGUCUCAAAGAUUAAGCCAUGCAUGUCUCAGUACAAGCCAAAUUAAGGUGAAACCGCGAAAGGCUCAUUAAAUCAGUUAUGGUUCCUUAGAUCGUACCCACAUUUACUUGGAUAACUGUGGUAAUUCUAGAGCUAAUACAUGCAAACAGAGCUCUGACUGGAGACGGAAAGAGUGCUUUUAUUAGAUCAAAACCAAUCGGCGUCGGGUUCCGUUUACGCGGGCUCGUUCGUCGCCCUAUUUGGUGACUCUGAAUAACUUUUGGCUGAUCGCACGGUCUUGCACCGGCGACGCAUCUUUCAAAUGUCUGCCUUAUCAACUGUCGAUGGUAGGUUCUGCGCCUACCAUGGUUGUAACGGGUAACGGGGAAUCAGGGUUCGAUUCCGGAGAGGGAGCCUGAGAAACGGCUACCACAUCCAAGGAAGGCAGCAGGCGCGCAAAUUACCCACUCCCGGCACGGGGAGGUAGUGACGAAAAAUAACGAUACGGGACUCAUCCGAGGCCCCGUAAUCGGAAUGAGUACACUUUAAAUCCUUUAACAAGGACCAAUUGGAGGGCAAGUCUGGUGCCAGCAGCCGCGGUAAUUCCAGCUCCAAUAGCGUAUAUUAAAGUUGUUGCGGUUAAAAAGCUCGUAGUUGAAUCUGUGUCCCGCGCUGUCGGUUCACCGCCCGCGGUGUUUAACUGGCACGUCUCGCGGGACGUCCUGCCGGUGGGUGCGUUGUUCGUUCUAUAUGUACACUUUAUUAUGUUAUAUGUGAUUUCCAAUAAAUACUUACGAUAAUGUUACCUAUUUUAUAUAUAUAUAUUUUAUAUGUAUAUAUUUAGUGUUUUCAUUAGUUCGGAGUUUUGUUGGUGCAUGUAUAUACAUUUUAAAUGUGUCUUUAGUUCUGAAUACCACCCGACUUACGAAUCCUGUCGCGGUGCUCUUAACCGAGUGUCGAGGCGGGCCGGCACGUUUACUUUGAACAAAUUAGAGUGCUCAAAGCAGGCUAAAAUUUCGCCUGAAUAUUGUGUGCAUGGAAUAAUGGAAAAGGACCUCGGUUCUAUUUUGUUGGUUUUCGGAAACCCCGAGGUAAUGAUUAAUAGGGACAGAUGGGGGCAUUCGUAUUGCGACGUUAGAGGUGAAAUUCUUGGAUCGUCGCAAGACGGACAGAAGCGAAAGCAUUUGCCAAAAAUGUUUUCAUUAAUCAAGAACGAAAGUCAGAGGCUCGAAGGCGAUCAGAUACCGCCCUAGUUCUGACCAUAAACGAUGCCAGCUAGCGAUCCGUCGACGUUCCUCCGAUGACUCGACGGGCAGCUUCCGGGAAACCAAAGUUUUUGGGUUCCGGGGGAAGUAUGGUUGCAAAGCUGAAACUUAAAGGAAUUGACGGAAGGGCACCACCAGGAGUGGGGCCUGCGGCUUAAUUUGACUCAACACGGGAAAUCUCACUAGGUCCGGACACCGGAAGGAUUGACAGAUUGAGAGCUCUUUCUUGAUUCGGUGGGUGGUGGUGCAUGGCCGUUCAUAGUUGGUGGAUUGGUUUGUCUGGUUAAUUCCGAUAACGAACGAGAUUCUAGCCUGCUAACUAGGCGUUCUCCGGUAUCUAGAAGGCUCGCGGCUCUCGUUAACGUGAACAUUGUGUUCAAAUACGAAGUGUAUGUUGUGUUCUAUAGGUCUUACUUGUUUAUGAAAUGUGUAAUGGUAGCAAUACUAUUGCAUAUGAUUAUCAGGUGUAGAUCUAUAAAUCCACUGCAUUAGUUUUGGCCAUGUUUACGGUACGAGUGUUCGCGGUUUUUACUACCGGCGUACAAUUAAAUCUUCUUAGAGGGACAGGUGGCGCUUAGCCGCACGAGAUUGAGCAAUAACAGGUCUGUAAUGCCCUUAGAUGUUCUGGGCCGCACGCGCGCCACACUGAAGGAAUCAGCGUGUCCUCCCUGGCCGAAUGGUCCGGGUAACCCGCUGAACCUCCUUCGUGCUAGGGAUUGGGGCUUGCAAUUAUUCCCCAUGAACGAGGAAUUCCCAGUAAGCGCGAGUCAUAAGCUUGCGUUGAUUAAGUCCCUGCCCUUUGUACACACCGCCCGUCGCUACUACUGAUUGAAUGAUUUAGUGAGGUCUUCGGACUGGUACGCGGUGGAAUUUUUCGAUUUUACCGAUGUCGCUGGGAAGAUGACCAAACUUGAUCAUUUAGAAGAAGUAAAAG
This 2202-nucleotide ribosomal RNA is filed under the name Omophron sp. BYU_ACCO033. Its description in RNAcentral is "SSU rRNA". It matches the Rfam family "Eukaryotic small subunit ribosomal RNA". The record is from RNAcentral. Lineage: Eukaryota; Metazoa; Arthropoda; Insecta; Coleoptera; Carabidae.